AAUAAGUGCAGUUUUACACUAUUCACGUUCAACGUUUGACCGUUCGUCUUAUUUAAAUUUUUUUAUGAUUAGUAUUUCUAUUGCUAUUAGAUGAUAAAACAUGAAUAGUACUUUAUAUGUGAUUAAAUAUUUUUAAUUUUUUCAUAAAUUUUUCAAAUAAAACGGACGGUCAAACGUUCGAUACGGAUAUCCACGGCUGCACUUAUU
Oryza sativa Japonica Group (Japanese rice) is the source of this 207-nucleotide microRNA precursor. It matches the Rfam family "MIR812 microRNA precursor family". The record is from Rfam. NCBI's taxonomy places the organism in Eukaryota, Viridiplantae, Streptophyta, Magnoliopsida, Poales, Poaceae.